Molecule: unclassified non-coding RNA, 287 nt
Filed under: Hevea brasiliensis (rubber tree)
Lineage: Eukaryota; Viridiplantae; Streptophyta; Magnoliopsida; Malpighiales; Euphorbiaceae
Source: RNAcentral
GCUUCCUAUUAUAAGUGAUGUUCCUGAAGGAUGUGUUAUAAUAAGGGAGCAUAUUCCUAUUAGCAACCUCUUUACUUGCCUUUGGUUCAACGAAGUUGACCGCUUUACUUCAAGGGACCAAAUCAGCUUUUCCACAGUAAGAGAUAAGAUUCGGGCAAAGACAAAUUGGACUGUGAACAUGUUCAUGGAUCACCUCCAACUUUCUGUUACUACCUGCAGAAGUACCAUAGAGAUGUUUUAGAGCACAUGGCUCCUCCUCCUCCUGCUGUAUAUCCACCACCACUGCC